UACCAUGCAGUCGAACGAUGAAGCCCUUCGGGGUGGAUUAGUGGCGAACGGGUGAGUAACACGUGGGCAAUCUGCCCUUCACUCUGGGACAAGCCCUGGAAACGGGGUCUAAUACCGGAUAACACUUCCCUCCUCCUGGAGGGUGGUUAAAAGCUCCGGCGGUGAAGGAUGAGCCCGCGGCCUAUCAGCUUGUUGGUGAGGUAAUGGCUCACCAAGGCGACGACGGGUAGCCGGCCUGAGAGGGCGACCGGCCACACUGGGACUGAGACACGGCCCAGACUCCUACGGGAGGCAGCAGUGGGGAAUAUUGCACAAUGGGCGAAAGCCUGAUGCAGCGACGCCGCGUGAGGGAUGACGGCCUUCGGGUUGUAAACCUCUUUCAGCAGGGAAGAAGCGAAAGUGACGGUACCUGCAGAAGAAGCGCCGGCUAACUACGUGCCAGCAGCCGCGGUAAUACGUAGGGCGCAAGCGUUGUCCGGAAUUAUUGGGCGUAAAGAGCUCGUAGGCGGCUUGUCACGUCGGUUGUGAAAGCCCGGGGCUUAACCCCGGGUCUGCAGUCGAUACGGGCAGGCUAGAGUGUGGUAGGGGAGAUCGGAAUUCCUGGUGUAGCGGUGAAAUGCGCAGAUAUCAGGAGGAACACCGGUGGCGAAGGCGGAUCUCUGGGCCAUUACUGACGCUGAGGAGCGAAAGCGUGGGGAGCGAACAGGAUUAGAUACCCUGGUAGUCCACGCCGUAAACGGUGGGAACUAGGUG
RNAcentral lists this ribosomal RNA (753 nucleotides) under Streptomyces sp. MJAU D0067. RNAcentral's name for it is "bacterial SSU rRNA". It matches the Rfam family "Bacterial small subunit ribosomal RNA", at positions 52 to 822 of the family's 1533-position model. Lineage: Bacteria; Bacillati; Actinomycetota; Actinomycetes; Kitasatosporales; Streptomycetaceae. RNAcentral also lists the same sequence under 1 other name. The record is from RNAcentral.